AGCUCCAAUAGCGUAUACUAAUGUUGUUGCAGUUAAAAAGCUCGUAGUCGGAUUUCAGUUUGAUUUUGGUACUUCUACCCGGAGAUCCUUAAUCAUUCUUCCUUGACAUAAACAUCUAUGUCCUUCAUUGGAUGUGGCUUGGGAGUGUCUCUUUUACUUUGAGAAAAUUAGAGUGUUCAAAGCAGGUGUCCGCCUGAAUAUUACUCUUGGAAUAAUACUAUAGGACUUUGGUUCUGCUUUGUUGGUGUUCAGAGCCAGAGUAAUGAUUGAUAGGGACGG
Molecule: ribosomal RNA, 279 nt
Filed under: uncultured eukaryote
Lineage: Eukaryota
Description: partial small subunit ribosomal RNA
Rfam family: Eukaryotic small subunit ribosomal RNA
Source: RNAcentral